GAUGGGCGGUACCACCCAGAAGAACAGCCGGUGGUUGAAGGAGGGCAUCAUGUUUUUUGUCUGCCGGAUGGUUUUGGUAGAAAUAAAAAAAUGAAGGAAGUAUCGAAUGCGAUUAAGGAAGUUACUUACUGGAAAUAACGAAAA
This is a non-coding RNA of Caenorhabditis elegans, 144 nucleotides long. Lineage: Eukaryota; Metazoa; Nematoda; Chromadorea; Rhabditida; Rhabditidae. The record is from Ensembl.